UCUCAGUGAUGACCUCUGCAUGUGUCUUACGCCCUGUGCCAACAACAGAACCUGUGAAGGUGAACCCACUGUUGUUGCCAGGGCAACAAGGGGAUGGCUUGUUGGGGUUACCAACUGUCUGAUGGGAC
Molecule: small nucleolar RNA, 128 nt
Organism: Esox lucius (northern pike)
Lineage: Eukaryota; Metazoa; Chordata; Actinopteri; Esociformes; Esocidae
Gene: SNORD22
Rfam family: Small nucleolar RNA SNORD22
About the family: U22 is a member of the C/D class of snoRNA which contain the C (UGAUGA) and D (CUGA) box motifs.
Source: Ensembl